GGCCAUUGUUCGCUGGCGUGCACACCGGCAAGGGGGACUGAAACACCUGGCCAGCUGUCGCGCGUGCUUCGCAUGCGUGUUACGUGCGCGACUGCGUCCUCUGCCCCGUCUUUGCCCUUGUUUUUUUUUUGUUUUCUCUUGACUGCUCUCCCACGGUACUCCGCGACUCCCUGCGCCUAGUGCCGCAGCGCAGGCUCAUGAGCAAACACAUGAUUUCUGUGGGCUCACGGUGGGUGCACCACGAGGUGACCCAGGCACUGCGGCAGCGCCGCGGCGUGCGUGUGGAGGUGAACGAGGAGCUGCAGCACUGCGACUUCGCCAGUGGGGCGUCGUCGGUGUUGUACUGUGACGCGCACAGCGCGGAAAUACAGCGCGAUCAAGCAUCGCUGGUGCUCCGCUUGCAGGAGGCGCGCCAGCGAUGUGGGACGCAGCCAGUGAUUCUCAUGGUUCGCAUGGAUAGUGGUGUCGAAGUCUCACUCGAGAGACUCUCGUGGCUGAAUCUGGAGUGCGGAGUGGCGCAGCAGUGCGGACUCAUCCUUGUGUGGUCGCUCGAUGAUGCAGUGCAAUACCUGGCAAGUCUCGCAGCGUCCUCGGUGACGUCCCUAGAGUUCACAGGGGCGGCGCGUCCACAUGUUGGGGACGCGCCACUGGCGGUGCUCGUCGAUGCCCUCACACAAACGCCGCAGGUGGUCACGCGCAACGACGUCGUGCGCAUCGCCAAUCGAAAGACCAGCAUAGCCGAUGCGCUGAUGAGUGAGGCGUCGGAGUGGGAGGGCAUCGCAGGGCUGGGAAGCAAGAAAGCGGCUCGUUUGCAGCACCUCUUUCGCACACCAUUUCUCUCCUCACAGCAACGCAUCGACUCCUUUGUACCGGCUUCCGGCGAGAGCAGUUUCUCCACCGCUUCUAAAGCCGCAGAUUCCCAUCUCCCGCAGCCCACAGGGGAGUCCAUAGCGCGGCUGACAGAGGCCCUUAGCGUCGACACGACCGUAACCACCGAAGGAAGACGUCGCAUGAUGAGCGCACUGCAACGGCGGCUUGACAAGGAAGACGAGGAAGGCGGCGAAUGAGGCAACAUCGGCAAUCAGCGUGCGCGCACCCGACGCGGUCGGCGACGCAUCCGUACUACUCCGUGUUAAAGACUGCUAUUGUAGUUCUUUUCUUCCUGCUCGUAGCUUCCGGUAUGCCGUCGGGUGGAGACGGAGUACAUCACACGUCUAUCACGUGCACCGUCGGAGCUGCUGUGUGUGUGUAUCUGUGUGUGAGCCACCCCCCCCCCUCUCUCCCCUACUUCUCCCCCUCUGUCUUUUGAGAGGGGCUGAUAGACACGCAUCACCACCACAC
This 1341-nucleotide unclassified non-coding RNA is filed under the name Leishmania donovani. RNAcentral describes it as "gene:LdHU3.22.0120(CDS-product:hypothetical_prote in_conserved)". Lineage: Eukaryota; Euglenozoa; Kinetoplastea; Trypanosomatida; Trypanosomatidae. The record is from RNAcentral.